UGGUAGGUGUGCAUUGGCGCGCAACUCUGACUUUGAAUCAGAGCCAUUAUAGGUUCGAUUCCUAUCCUACCAGC
RNAcentral lists this transfer RNA (74 nucleotides) under Rhodococcus phage NiceHouse. Its description in RNAcentral is "tRNA-Gln". It matches the Rfam family "tRNA". Rfam says of the family: Transfer RNA (tRNA) molecules are approximately 80 nucleotides in length. Their secondary structure includes four short double-helical elements and three loops (D, anti-codon, and T loops). Lineage: Duplodnaviria; Heunggongvirae; Uroviricota; Caudoviricetes. The record is from RNAcentral.